RNAcentral lists this ribosomal RNA (424 nucleotides) under uncultured Nitrosospira sp. RNAcentral describes it as "bacterial SSU rRNA". It matches the Rfam family "Bacterial small subunit ribosomal RNA", at positions 207 to 622 of the family's 1533-position model. The record is from RNAcentral. Lineage: Bacteria; Pseudomonadati; Pseudomonadota; Betaproteobacteria; Nitrosomonadales; Nitrosomonadaceae.
CAAGACCUUGCGCUCUUGGAGCGGCCGAUGUCUGAUUAGCUAGUUGGUGAGGUAAAGGCUUACCAAGGCGACGAUCAGUAGCUGGUCUGAGAGGACGACCAGCCACACUGGGACUGAGACACGGCCCAGACUCCUACGGGAGGCAGCAGUGGGGAAUUUUGGACAAUGGGGGAAACCCUGAUCCAGCCAUGCCGCGUGAGUGAAGAAGGCCUUCGGGUUGUAAAGCUCUUUCAGCCGGAACGAAACGGUCACGGUUAAUACCCGUGACAACUGACGGUACCGGAAGAAGAAGCACCGGCUAACUACGUGCCAGCAGCCGCGGUAAUACGUAGGGUGCGAGCGUUAAUCGGAAUUACUGGGCGUAAAGCGUGCGCAGGCGGUUUUGUAAGUCAGAUGUGAAAUCCCCGGGCUUAACCUGGGAACU